This 423-nucleotide ribosomal RNA is filed under the name uncultured bacterium. Its description in RNAcentral is "bacterial SSU rRNA". It matches the Rfam family "Bacterial small subunit ribosomal RNA", at positions 202 to 622 of the family's 1533-position model. The record is from RNAcentral.
AAGGCCUUGCGCUUUUGGAGUGGCCGAMGCCUGAUUAGCUAGUUGGUGGGGUAAGGGCCUACCAAGGCGGCGAUCAGUAGUUGGUCUGAGAGGACGACCAGCCACACUGGGACUGAGACACGGCCCAGACUCCUACGGGAGGCAGCAGUGGGGAAUUUUGGACAAUGGGCGCAAGUCUGAUCCAGCAAUGCCGCGUGAGUGAAGAAGGCCUUCGGGUUGUAAAGCUCUUUCAGUUGAGAAGAAAAGGUUGUGGUAAAUAAUCACAAUUCAUGACGGUAUCGACAGAAGAAGCACCGGCUAACUACGUGCCAGCAGCCGCGGUAAUACGUAGGGUGCAAGCGUUAAUCGGAAUUACUGGGCGUAAAGGGUGCGCAGGCGGCUUUGUAAGUCAGAUGUGAAAUCCCCGGGCUUAACCUGGGAAUU